UUUGCCAGAUUUUUGAGGCAGAGUGCUUGGAAAGGUAAUACACCAAAGUAAACCCGUGAAACAUCCAGAAACCUUACGUUUGUGGAUGUAUGUAGGAACUGGUGGAAGUUUCCAGGAAUCCUUACAGCUGGUUGUGAGGAGCGGUGGGUGUGAGGUGUGAACGGCUUUUUAUAUGUUAAUGACCCACAGGUAGAGGUGUCUUCUUUGUUUUCAGAGCUGAGUGGGGUGGGGUGGGGGGUUAACCAUGUCUCUUUAAGACAGCACAUACAGUAUUGUGGUACAUAAAAACUGUGUUUUGUAAAUAUGUUUAUUAUUAAUAUAAUUUAAUUAGUCUAUUUAAGAAACUAAGCAUCAUUCAAAAUAACUAAAAUUCAAUGGACACAAUUACCAUUUUAAUGUGUGAAAAUUAUGUCUCUGACUCAAGAGAAAUGCAACAAAUGUUAUUUCAGAAUAUAUAUUUCCAACACUUUGAAAACAUGUCUCCAACUGCCCUAGGUCAGAAUAUUGUGAACGUAUCUCUCAAUGCUGCAUACAUCGUUUAAAGGAAGCCGUUCAAAUGACAUCAUGUAACUCAUUUUUGCUAGCUAGGAUGUUGAUAAAUUAGUCAGUGAAAUGUAAAGCUGCUUAUUUUUGCUGAUGUCUCAUGAUUUGAAGUUCACUGUUUCUAUUGUUAUUAUAAUUCUACCCUAACAUUUCAUUAAAUCUUUUAAAAUAGAAACAAAAAUAUCAAUAGACAGGUCUAUAAUCUAAAAGACAGUCUUUCACAUGUGGAUGCAAAACAUGUUGGGUGAAACAGACUGACAAACUCGGGUAAACAUAUCUGCAGAUACCUGUCAGCUACUGUACUUCUAGUCCAGAGGUGCCCAAAGUUGGCCCACAAAAGACCUUAAAUUUUUUUAUGUUUCAUGCAUACUUGAAGGUGUAUAAAAUGCAUCACAAAACCUAAUGAACUCGGGUACUAUAGGCUAAAAAUGAAGAGGUUGCGGCAGUGGCACACAGAGAAAAGGAUAUUUAAAAUUGAUUGGCAAAACGAUUUCUUUUUCCUACAAACAGCCUUGGAAAAUAAAACUGCAUUAGUUAUGCAUAAACAGAGUAAUGUUUGCUUAUUUAUUUUUAAAAUAUUAGAAAAUUAUAAAUUAGGGGUUAUCAGGGCAACUUUAAUUUUAAUAUAACACAACAACAUUUACUUUUGGCCCACGGCCCUCAGUCAGGUUUGGCCCUUGUAAGGAAAACGUUCGGGCAACAAUGAAUGUUCUAGUCUAUCUGAGGAGGUAACUUUUAGCAUAUGAUAAUGCAUGCUUGCACAAAGUCAGACCACAUAUUAUAAUGUUUGUCUUCAAUCAAUCAAUUUAAACAAAAGAGAUGGGGACUUUAUAAUAUAAUAAGGGUCCAUAUAUCACAGUGAAAAAAGACAUACAUGUAUUUUUACUUUAACAUGAACUAAUGCUGAGUUACAGCAUAUCCUAAUAAUAAACUAUUGAAGAGUCAUCAUUAACUACGACAUGUUUUUCAUUGUUAGUUAAUGCAGUCAUUUACAAUAAAUUAAUUUGAGUUCAUGUUGUAGUUAAGUAAGUUCAGUAAGUUACAUGUCUUAACUCAGCAUUAGUUUAUAUUUACUAAUAUUUAAGUAAGAAUUCAUUUAGGUAUACGUUCAAUGUUUCCAAUGAUGAGCAGUUAAUCCACUAAACCCAGAGAUAAUUCCUGAGGCAUGUUUAAAGAGUUUUGUAUUUCAUCAAGAAGGUGCUGCUGAUUCACAAAGAUUUUAUAUUUAAGAAAAUCUGAGCAUCAUUCCAAAUAACUGUUAACAUGUUUGUCAACUAAACAUGUUUUGUAAACGUAAUAAACUUUAUAAAAAUAUUUUUUAUUUUUUAUUAAUAAUCAAGUAUAAAGAACAAUGCAUAGUGUGAAAACGCGGAUUAUAAAAAGUAUAUUAAAGAAAAGGACUACAUUUCCCAGAAUGCACCUGCACCUACUCAUCUGCCCCCACCCUUCAGGUGCGACUGCUCAACCUAUGGGCUUGACGGGAAAAUUCAAAAUCGCGAACCGUUACUGCCUGGACUACUCCGUCUCUUGUUUGUUUGUUUGCUCAUUAACAGUAAGAGGUCAUGUACACUGUGGUCAACUUUGUGGACGAUGAAGAGGUUUCUGGGUAAAGAUGAUAGAAAUAUAAUGAAGUAACAGUGAAAGCUAAAACAUCAGACUGAUCCAGACACUGAAGAAAUUGAUGUCACUGCAAUCUGGCCAAAAUGAUACAACUAUAUUGAAGUAACCUACUGUAAUGAAGCUGCAGAACAACACAGAGACUCUGAGGACAUCAACACAGAAAAUGAAGGCUCCAAAGAGAUGUCUGUCCAGAUGAGGGUGCAUCAACGUUACCUUUGCUGACAAGUAUAUGCUUUACAAUGUAAAACCUAACAGUUAACUUAACUCAAACCAUUUAAGGAAAUCGGUUGCCUUAACCCAUU
Molecule: long non-coding RNA, 2465 nt
Organism: Paramisgurnus dabryanus
Lineage: Eukaryota; Metazoa; Chordata; Actinopteri; Cypriniformes; Cobitidae
Source: RefSeq, a predicted model, not a curated record